RNAcentral lists this long non-coding RNA (829 nucleotides) under Vulpes vulpes (red fox). RNAcentral's name for it is "lncRNA (ENSVVUG00000014469.1)". The record is from RNAcentral. Lineage: Eukaryota; Metazoa; Chordata; Mammalia; Carnivora; Canidae.
CUUUCACAGAUACUGAUUCCUAAUAACUAUACCCCAAACUUCAUCCUAACAUUUGCUUUUGAAGAACCAAACCUAGGAGAGUCAGUAGUAGAAACAGUAAGCAGAUAACAAGAUGGGACUUUGUAGCUGAAUCACUAUAGACUGCCUGGCAGGCAAUGAGGACCCCAUUACUGGUAGCACAUGGAACACAUAGACCCUAGCACAAGGUGGCAGUCCAGUUGUUAAAGCUAGCAGCAUGGCCCAGAUGAGGAUAUGCUUGAAGAGGGAAGAAAAGGAUUAUUACACAAAAAGCUGCAAAGCACAGCCAUGGCAGAAAGAGCCAUGGAAGGGGCUAGUGGCAACACAGACGCGUACAUUCUAAGAUACAUCGCAGACUUCUGGCAAGCAUUAAUCAACAGUAAGGACACUCUGAUAAUGUUACUAUGGCAACCCUGGGAACAGACAAGAUGGAAAUGGAAAAGACUCUCAACACUGAUAAGAGGAUACACCUCAGGAAAUGCAGCACUUGUACCUCAUUCCGAGGACCAAGAGCUACCCAGGCUUAUAGUUCCUUUUCCUCUCACACAUUUGAGGUGUGUAUGAUUGCCCUGAAUGAAAGCCAAGGUAUGUCGGGCACCUUAAUGUAUAAAAGUUACACCUUCUAUUUCCAACAGUAUUUUAUGCCAUUUCAGUCAUAUAGGACCAAGGCCUGGAUGCAAGCUUACAUUUCCACCAGUCCAGAGUAGUUGCCCAAAUUGGGAUAUUCAUGGCGCAAGCAUAACCACGUAGUCCAUAUUGACCUUAACUUUAUAGUUUCCAAAGAGAACUCAGCUGUCAGGCAGGCUUGGAC